CAUGAUGAAGUUAGCCUUUUUUCGUUUCUUCUUUUACUUUAGCACCUGAGAACAGGGGGCUUUGCGCGUAAGAAAAGAAACGAAAAAUAGCGCUUGAGCCUCCAGUGUGGAGGCUUUUUUAUU
Non-coding RNA from Xenorhabdus khoisanae, 123 nucleotides. The record is from Rfam. Lineage: Bacteria; Pseudomonadati; Pseudomonadota; Gammaproteobacteria; Enterobacterales; Morganellaceae.